RNAcentral lists this transfer RNA (73 nucleotides) under Phrynosoma platyrhinos (Desert horned lizard). Its description in RNAcentral is "tRNA-OTHER". Lineage: Eukaryota; Metazoa; Chordata; Lepidosauria; Squamata; Phrynosomatidae. The record is from RNAcentral.
GGUCAGCGUGGCAUAGUGGUUUGAGUGUUGGACUAUGCUUCUGGAGACCAGAGUUCGAUUCCCUGCUUGGCCA